This 122-nucleotide microRNA precursor is filed under the name Arabidopsis thaliana (thale cress). RNAcentral's name for it is "microRNA MIR405". It matches the Rfam family "MIR405 microRNA precursor family". The record is from RNAcentral. Lineage: Eukaryota; Viridiplantae; Streptophyta; Magnoliopsida; Brassicales; Brassicaceae. RNAcentral also lists the same sequence under 1 other name.
UUAAACCGUUUAAUAACUCAACCCAUCAAAUUAAAUGAGUUAUGGGUUGACGCAACUCAUUUUAUUAAAUGGGUUGGGUCAACCUAUAACUCAUUUAAUCAUAAACUCAUUUGAUUAUGAGU